This 254-nucleotide ribosomal RNA is filed under the name uncultured Singulisphaera sp. RNAcentral describes it as "partial 16S ribosomal RNA". It matches the Rfam family "Bacterial small subunit ribosomal RNA", at positions 524 to 776 of the family's 1533-position model. Lineage: Bacteria; Pseudomonadati; Planctomycetota; Planctomycetia; Isosphaerales; Isosphaeraceae. The record is from RNAcentral.
GACGAACCGUGCGAACGUUAUUCGGAAUCACUGGGCUUAAAGCGCGUGUAGGCGGGCGGGAACGUCGGUGACUGAAAGCCCCCGGCUCAACCGGGGAAGUGGUGCCGAAACGACCCGUCUGGAGGAGCGUAGGGGGACCUGGAACUUCCGGUGGAGCGGUGAAAUGCGUUGAGAUCGGAAGGAACGCCCGUGGCGAAAGCGAGGUCCUGGACGUCUGCUGACGCUGAGACGCGAAAGCCAGGGGAGCGAACGGG